Molecule: long non-coding RNA, 1591 nt
Organism: Pogona vitticeps (central bearded dragon)
Lineage: Eukaryota; Metazoa; Chordata; Lepidosauria; Squamata; Agamidae
Source: Ensembl
UGCUUCCCAAACACUGGCCCAGGUUCCCCCCCCCCUGCCAAAUGGCUGCAGCUAUGAUAUCAUUCUCAUUCUGCAGCAUAAAGUUACACAACAGGAUUUCAGACAUGGUGUAAUGUAAACCUAGAAACAAUUUUCUAUCACUUUGCCAUGCAUACUUCUAGAUAAUGAGGGAAUAUAUCUUUUAAAAAAUUUUUAAAGUGCUAGAACUUAUUCUUCAUAGUAUUUUUGAAUAGAAAAAUUAAAUGGUUUUUUCCUUUAUACCUAAAACUACGGAUUCUGCCCAGACAUAUGCAGAGGUGGUCAAGGAUAGUUUUCAUAUCCUUCACAAGAGGCACAAAGCCUUCACAAAGACUUUUCAGAAACACCAGAGAGAAAUGAGGAAUUUUGACCAACAGUGGAAGGAUAACCAGGAACUUUUCAGACAAGAGAUGCAAGAAGAGAUGAAGAGAAGACAGGGCCAAAAGCAGAAAGAGCUGCUUACUACUGUACCAGAUGUCCCGAAUAGUUCCGACAAGAUUUCAAGCCCAAUAGUCUCAUUUCUGCUGCCUUAAUUAAUUUCUGAUUGGUGGUUUAUGUCUCUUUUUGAAUUGAAUGAGAAGUACAAACUAGGUGUAUUUAUUGUCACCUCUUAUAAAUAUAAUUCUAGUCUGUUUUAUAUAAUAUUUAAAGGAAAUCAAUUUUGAUUUGUACAUAUGAAUACAUGAUUGAUUGGAAACGGUUGUAUACAAGGGACAACAUAAGCUAAUGCUCUGAGAAUAACAUUGUAUGAUGUGCAGUUUCCCUUAUUUGGUAUAAAAGAAAAUUUGUUGAUGACAUUUUGAGACAUUAGUGACAAACUAGUGUUCCUUGAUUUAAAAAAUGUAAAUCUGAAAAUGUAAGUUUCCACAUUUUCAGUGCCUCAUAUUGCCAAUACUUCAGGAAAUGAUGUAUUUUAUCUUUUCAUUUUUCGUAAAGACAGCUUAUUUGUAUUGUGAUGUAGUCUUGAAGAUACACAUGAUGCAUCAUGUACAGUAAUGGUACAAGGCUGAAUAUGUUUUUGUUUUUGGUGGGUUUUUUGCAAAAUUGUUUUGCUGGUUUAUCCAAACACUCUUGAGAUAUCAGUGCAUAAUACUGUAUAUAUCUUAAUAAGAGAAGUAUAAAGUAAAAAGAAACAUAAUUUUCAUCUACAAAUUAGAUUGGCAAACACUGUUGAGCUCUGAAAUUCAAGUUCAGUCUAUUAAUCUGCUAACACAUAUGUAAUCUCCAAGGUUACAUUUAACAAUUUGCUGCUUUUACACAAACCAUUGACAUGCUCUUUUCUUAUAUCCACGAAGUAAAUCUCUGCAGGCUUUGAAAUUCAAAGUUUAUGGAUUGCUUUUUUACAAAAAAAAACCCUUCCCAUUUACAAAUCAUAAUUGUUUGCAAUCAAAUCAUGUUGACAGAGAUGGGUUUCAGUGGUGCAGUUCUUUGUACCAACUGUGACUUUACUGGCAGUUUAAACCUACAAAUGUUUUCUAUUUUUUUGUUGUUUUUUGUCUUUUGCCAUGUGGGAAAAUUUUUUAAAGAACAGUAAUAUAUCACUUUAGAAAAUAAAUAAUUUCACAUAAAGACA